AUGUCAGCGCCAUCGCAACUGAGCAAGGACCCGCGCAACAAUUACUUCGACUUUGGGGCGGCGCGGCAGGUGCCGGAAACGCACAUGUGGGAGGGGCUGUAUGAGCACCCGGUGGUGGACGGCGGCGUCCGGGCCGGGGAGGACGCCGUGCCGGUGGUGGACAUGCAGGAUCCGCGCGCGGCCGAGGCGGUGGCGCGUGCGUCGGAGCAGUGGGGCGUGUUCCUGCUCGAGGGCCACGGCAUUCCGAGCGAGCUGCUCGCGCGCGUCGAGGCCGGAAUCGCUGGCAUGUUCGCGUUGCCGACGCCGGAGAAGAUGCGUGCCGAGCGGCAGGACGGCGAGCCCUAUGGCUAUGGGUUGCCGCACAUCGCGUCCUACUCCUCCAAGGCCACGUGGUCCGAGGGCUACACCUUGUCCCCGGCCAGCCUCCGUGCCGAGCUACGCAGGGUCUGGCCAGACGCCGGCGAGGACUACCGCCACUUCUGUGACGUGAUGGAGGAGUUCCACAGGCAGAUGCGAGCGGUGGCUGACAAGCUGACGGUGCUGUUCCUCGCGGCGCUCGGGCUCGCCGGCGAGCAGAUCGCCGCCGUCGAGGCGGAGCGCAAGAUCGUGGAGACCAUGUCCGAGACCGUGACCAUGCACCUCAACUGGUACCCAAAGUGCCCUGACCCGAAGCGAGCGCUGGGCAUGACGACGCACACGGACUCGGGGUUCUUCACGUUCGUGAUGCAGAGCCACGUCCCCGGGAUGCAGCUGUUCCGGCGCGGGCCAGACAGGUGGGUUGGGGUGCCGCCCGGGGCACUCAUCGUCAACAUCGGUGACCUCUUCCAGAUCCUCACCAACGGCCGCUUCCGCAGCGCAUACCACCGCGCUGUCGUCAACCGCGACAACGCUCGGGUGUCGGUGGCCUACCAUCUCGGCCCGCCCGCCGACGUCAAGGUAGCGCCGCUCAGGGAAGCCGUGGGCGCUGGCAAGCCCGCCUACCGCACCGUCACGUGGCGAGAGUACAUCGUCGUACGCAAGGAGGCCUUCGCCACCGGGGGCUCCGCGCUCGAGAUGGUCUCCCUCAGCCCCGAUGACCACGACGAUGAGGGUGAUGGCGCUGACCACAUAAGUGAAAUCCCGUCAUAG
RNAcentral lists this ribosomal RNA (1128 nucleotides) under Triticum aestivum (bread wheat). Its description in RNAcentral is "partial small subunit ribosomal RNA". Lineage: Eukaryota; Viridiplantae; Streptophyta; Magnoliopsida; Poales; Poaceae. The record is from RNAcentral.